CAAAAACAUCGCCUCCUGCAAUGCAGCCAAGUAUAGGAGGUCCAGCCUGCCCAGUGACUAUAAGUUCAACGGCCGCGGUAUUUUGACCGUGCAAAGGUAGCGCAAUCACUUGUCUUUUAAAUAGAGACCUGUAUGAAUGGCCAAACGAGGGCUUAACUGUCUCCCUUUUCAAGUCAGUGAAAUUGAUCUACCCGUGCAGAAGCGGGUAUAAUAAUACAAGACGAGAAGACCCUUUGGAGCUUAAGGUACAAAACUUAACCACGUCAAGCAACUUAAUGAAAAGCAAAAACCUUGUGAAAAAUGAGAUUUUACCUUCGGUUGGGGCGACCACGGAGAAAAAUAAAACCUCCAAGUGGAAUGGGACAAACUCCUAAAACCAAGAGAGACAUCUCUAAGCCACAGAACAUCUGACCAAACAUGAUCCGGCCUAACAAAGCCGAUCAACGAACCAAGUUACCCUAGGGAUAACAGCGCAAUCCCCUCCCAGAGUCCGUAUCGACGAGGGGGUUUACGACCUCGAUGUUGGAUCAGGACAUCCUAAUGGUGCAGCCGCUAUUAAGGGUUCGUUUGUUCAACGAUUAAAGUCCUACGUGAUCUGAG
RNAcentral lists this ribosomal RNA (600 nucleotides) under Hypselobarbus micropogon (Korhi barb). RNAcentral's name for it is "partial 16S ribosomal RNA". It matches the Rfam family "Bacterial large subunit ribosomal RNA", at positions 1808 to 2609 of the family's 2925-position model. Lineage: Eukaryota; Metazoa; Chordata; Actinopteri; Cypriniformes; Cyprinidae. The record is from RNAcentral.